CCUACCCGAGUGACUUACGUAACUCACAAAUAGAUUAUUUGAUAGCGAGUUUAACAACAUGAUUCCGAUCAAGAUCAUGAGUCUGCUGCUGCUGGUUAUGAGCGCAGUGUCAGCCGAAUGUCCUGCUGGCUAUGAUGUCGUCGGAUCAACGUGCAUCCACCGUUUGAAGGAGGAUAUCUUUCGUAUGACGCUGCGGUCACUUACUGCCACCAUAACUUCGGCAGGCUGCCGGUGCUGCACGACUGCUCUUCCUUCCUUGAUGUCGCUACAUAUGCCGACGAUGGAUACUCAGCGGACGCCACCAACGGCUACUGGUUGGGUGCUACCAACUCUUCGGACACACACGUCUGGCAGUGGAGCGACGGCUCGGCAGUGCAAAUGGGCGCUCCGUUCUGGGCGAACAAUGUGGGAGCAGGAAGACAGCCCGAAGGCGGAACGGAGCAGAACUGUGCGAACCUCUACCACUUAACCCAAGGAGGCUGGGGGAUGCACGAUGCAGAUUGCCCAAGCCCCGGUUUUCCUUUGUGCUCCGGAACUCUUGUGAACGGCAUGUGCACCCAUCCUUUUGUCCUGGUGGGCACGCAAUGCGUGCACGUGAUUCAGACCGAGUACAGUUGGAGCGCUUCUCGCACUCAGUGUGGAUUAGCCGGAGGAGAUUUGAUCAUUCUAGAUGACUGCAACCAGUUGCACAAGAUGUACCUCUACGUCGCCG
This is an RNA transcript of Hyalella azteca, 712 nucleotides long. RefSeq lists it as uncharacterized. Lineage: Eukaryota; Metazoa; Arthropoda; Malacostraca; Amphipoda; Hyalellidae. The transcript is spliced from 5 exons. The record is from RefSeq and is a predicted model, not a curated record.